UGCAUCUGAAGCCUGACGAGGAUGAGAACCUCCGGGGGCAAGAGGUUCGACUCGAGCGCAGCGAGAGAACGUUGCGUCAGCAACGGCCCGCAGGGCGAGCCACGCAGUGGCGAGUCAUCCUCUAUCACCGACCA
RNAcentral lists this small RNA (134 nucleotides) under Salmonella enterica subsp. enterica serovar Infantis. RNAcentral describes it as "RtT sRNA". It matches the Rfam family "RtT RNA". Rfam says of the family: This family represents a bacterial cis-regulatory element known as RtT RNA. The exact function of RtT is unknown although it is thought that it may be involved in changing the cellular response in relation to amino acid starvation. Lineage: Bacteria; Pseudomonadati; Pseudomonadota; Gammaproteobacteria; Enterobacterales; Enterobacteriaceae. The record is from RNAcentral. RNAcentral also lists the same sequence under 163 other names.